UUGCAGCCAAUUAGGCCGACUGCGCUCUUUUCCCCAUAGGGGCUCAGUGUGCGAUGGCUGCAGACAGCAGCCUCCGUGGUCGUGUACACAGCCUGUUCCCAGGACUGGUUGCCAAGGGACCUUGGAGACAACU
Cervus hanglu yarkandensis (Yarkand deer) is the source of this 133-nucleotide small nucleolar RNA. Its record names the gene SNORA70. It matches the Rfam family "Small nucleolar RNA SNORA70". Rfam says of the family: snoRNA U70 seems to be exclusive to mammals and is a member of the H/ACA class of snoRNA which contain H (ANANNA) and ACA box motifs. H/ACA box snoRNAs are involved in the conversion of uridines to pseudouridines (5-ribosyluracil) a constituent of structural RNAs (transfer, ribosomal, small nuclear, and small nucleolar). The record is from Ensembl. NCBI's taxonomy places the organism in Eukaryota, Metazoa, Chordata, Mammalia, Artiodactyla, Cervidae.